Cephalotus follicularis is the source of this 119-nucleotide ribosomal RNA. Lineage: Eukaryota; Viridiplantae; Streptophyta; Magnoliopsida; Oxalidales; Cephalotaceae. The record is from Rfam.
GGGUGCGAUCAUACUAGCACUAAUGCUUCUGAUCCCAUCAAAACUCUGCAGUUAAGCGUGCUUGGGCGAGAGUAGUACUAGGAUGGGUGACCUCCUGGGAAGUCCCUGUGUUGCAUCCC